AUUAGAUACCCUGGUAGUCCACGCAGUAAACGAUGAAUGCUAAUUGUCCGUUGCGAAUGAGCGUUGGGUGAUACAGCGAAAGCGUUAAGCAUUCCACCUGGGGAGUACGCCGGCAACGGUGAAACUCAAAGGAAUUGACGGGGGCCCGCACAAGCGGAGGAACAUGUGGUUUAAUUCGAUGAUACGCGAGGAACCUUACCCGGGCUCAAACGCCGUCUGACGUAGGCUGAAAGGCUUAUUUCUUCGGACAGACGGCGAGGUGCUGCAUGGUUGUCGUCAGCUCGUGCCGUGAGGUGUCGGCUUAAGUGCCAUAACGAGCGCAACCCCUGUCGACAGUUGCUAACAGGUUAGGCUGAGGACUCUGUCGAGACUGCCGGCGCAAGCUGUGAGGAAGGCGGGGAUGACGUCAAAUCAGCACGGCCCUUACGUCCGGGGCGACACACGUGUUACAAUGGCAGGUACAGCGGGAAGCCACCCGGCGACGGGGCGCGGAACCCGAAAACCUGUCUCAGUUCGGAUUGGAGUCUGCAACCCGACUCCAUGAAGCUGGAUUCGCUAGUAAUCGCGCAUCAGCCACGGCGCGGUGAAUACGUUCCCGGGCCUUGUACACACCGCCCGUCAAGCCAUGGAAGCCGGGGGUACCUGAAGUACGUGACCGCAAGGAGCGUCCUAAGGUAAAACCGGUGACUGGGGCUAAGUCGUAACAAGGUACC
RNAcentral lists this ribosomal RNA (713 nucleotides) under uncultured bacterium. Its description in RNAcentral is "bacterial SSU rRNA". It matches the Rfam family "Bacterial small subunit ribosomal RNA", at positions 777 to 1500 of the family's 1533-position model. The record is from RNAcentral.